Molecule: unclassified non-coding RNA, 1146 nt
Filed under: Hevea brasiliensis (rubber tree)
Lineage: Eukaryota; Viridiplantae; Streptophyta; Magnoliopsida; Malpighiales; Euphorbiaceae
Source: RNAcentral
UUACCUGCAUGGUAUCUUUCAUUCCCGUAAUAACGUAACCAAACACAAAUAUAAUCAAACUCUAAAAAUUAAAAAAUAAUAAAAACACGCACACAUAUUCCACGUCUGUUACAUAUAUUACUACAAACAUAUUACCAAAUUUCAACAUCAGUCCAUGGCGAUGUCUAGCAAGCUUUAAGUGGUUUUCCGCAGAGGCAAUCAUUAUAAGCAAACGAUGACGCUUCAAGAUGAUCGAACGGAGAGCCUAGUGGAAUUUUCCCACAUAGGUGGUUGUGACUGAGAUCCAAGUGUCCGAUAUACGAUGCCGUCGAUAAAGAUUUCGGUAUUGACCCUCGAAAAUUAUUAUACGAUAAAUCAAGAACCGUAAAGUAGGAGCCCGCACUAAAAACAUCCGGCAAAUAUCCCUCGAAUGCGUUCUUGCUCAAAUUUAAAUUGCUAAUACCGGAAUUAAACAAGCUUGCCGGUAUAAGCCCUGAAAGUUUGUUAGCGUCCAAAUUUAGUGUUGCUAAUACCGCCAUUCUACCUAGAGAAGGAGGUAUAGCACCUGAUAGUCUAUUCAAUGAAAGAUCCAGAUCAGCAAGACGGUAAAUUUUCGAAAUAGAACUCGGUAUUGACCCGCUAAUAUAAUUGUGGCUGAGCAAAGCGCGGCUCAACAUCCUCAGACGUCCGAAAUUUCGAGGAAGUGGACCUGAGAUUCGGUUGCCACGCAAAUCCAGGUGCAUCAAUCUAGAAAGAUUCGUCAAAGAACGAGGGAUCUCACCGGAUAUAAGAUUAUCGGCGACAUUCAGCACGGUUAAUCUCUGUAACCGUCCUAUGUCAGCAGGAAGAUCACCGGAAAGCCGAUUCCCGAUUAAAUCAAGAAUCCGUAGAAAAGGAAGUGAAGUGAUGCAGCGGGGGAUCUCCCCGGAGAUCCCUUUCCAAUCUGCUAUUGUGAGACUCGAAAGGCGCUCUAGCUUACAGAUGGAAGGAGAGAUUGUACCGGUCAUGUAACCGGAUCUGCCAGCUUUUCCAAAGAUGGGGUCUUCGGACUCACCUCGGAGGUUUAUAUCCGCAACCCGGUGGGUCUCUGGGUCGCAGCUGACGCCGUACCAAUCAUGGCAGCAAUCGGUGCCGGUCCAAGAAUUGAAGAUGCCCAAAUAAGGCUCG